GCGCCCGCAAGGGCAGUGGCUUAGUGAUGAAUCAGGACAAAGAGUCAAAGCCGUAUGGCGUGACCGUAUCGAGUCUCUGCCCUAUCAACUUGAUGGUAGCGUAUUGGGCUACCAUGGUUACAACGGGUACGAGGAAUUAGGGUUCGAUUCCGGAGAGGGAGCCUGAGAAAUGGCUGCUACUUCUACGGAGGGCAGCAGGCGCGAAAAUUGCCCACUCCCAAUACAUUGGGGAGGCAGCGAAGAGGAAUACCAUCUCAACGGAGUUUACUUCGUAGGGGUCGGAAUGAGUAGUAGGUAAAAAUACUGCUGAGUAACAAUUGGAGGACAAGUCUGGUGCCAGCACCCGCGGUAAUUCCAGCUCCAAGAGCAUAUAUUAACGCUGCUGCUGUUAAAGGGUUCGUAGUUGGAUUCAGAGUUAGAGAAUUGAGGUGGUCUUAGGACCAUAAGCCUUAGUUUCCUCUAACCCUGCUUGCGCGGAACCGUAGCCCUGAGAAGCACUUCGGUGCCGAUCAAAUUCGCAUAUGCCAUAUGCAAAGGGCCGUCCGCCGUUAUUACUGUGAGCAAAACAGCGUGUCCAAGGCAGGCUUUGCCGUGAAUGAUAAAGCAUGGAAUAACAAGGGACCGCACGUAACUGUUGCUCCUUUUGUUGGUUUUCUAGCGUUGUUCGUAUAAUUUUCGCAACACCUCCGCUUUUCUGCACUUGUUUUGUGACCACUUCGGAAGCUUACUUGUCUGGAGAGUUGGAUGUUGCGAAGAGGGAUCAAUGGGGACUGUCGGGGGAAGUCGUAUCACCACGUCAGAGGUGAAAUUCUUAGACCGUGGUAAGACGGCCUACAGCGCAGGCAUCUUCCAAGUAUGUCUUCGUUAAUCAAGAACCAGAGUGUGGGGAUCGAAGAUGAUUAGAUACCAUUGUAGUCCACUACGGUAAACGAUGACGCCCACGGAUCGAAUGUCCGUUAGCUGCAUCCGGUACUCCCUUCUACUCCUACGCGAAAGCUGAGGUUACGGUCUCAUGGGGGAGUACAGUCGCAAGGCUGAAACUUAAAGAAAUUGACGGAAUGGCACCACCAGGCGUGGAGCGUGCGGUUUAAUUUGACCCAACACGGGGAACCUUACCAGGUCCGGACAACGCCAGGAUUGACAGACUGAAGCUCUUUCUCGAUUCGUUUGACGGUGGUGCAUGGCCGCUCCUGGUUCGUGAAGUGAUUUGUUUGGUUGAUUCCGUUAACGAACGAGAUCUCAACCGCUUACUAGGAGGCUUCGUCGCUUUUUACCUUGUGAGCCCCUUCGGGGUCCAUGAGGUUAGACUUGUCCUACCUUCUUAGCGGCACCUGGCGUGUUUAUAGCACCAUGGAGCGAGCCAAUAGCAGGUCUGUGAUGCUCCUAAAUGUCCUGGGCAACACGCGCACUACAAUGGCAGAGGCAACAAGUCUGGAUAUUUUUAUCCUACGCCCAAGGGUGUGGGGAAACAUGGAACUCUGUCGUGCCUGGGAUCGAGGCUUGCAAUUAUUUCUCUUUAACGAGGAAUGCCUAGUAGGCGCAGUUCAUCAUACUGCACCGGAUACGUCCCUGCCAUUUGUACACACCGCCCGUCGUUGCUACCGAUUGGGUGACUGAUAGAGUUUGCUGGAUUGUCAUUCGCUCCGCGUUUGCAUGAAGUCAAGCAAUAUUAUUCAUCUAGAGGAAGCAAAAGUCGUAACAAGGUA
This 1706-nucleotide ribosomal RNA is filed under the name metagenome. RNAcentral's name for it is "bacterial SSU rRNA". It matches the Rfam family "Eukaryotic small subunit ribosomal RNA", at positions 226 to 1801 of the family's 1831-position model. The record is from RNAcentral.